GUGAGGAAUAUUGGUCAAUGGACGGAAGUCUGAACCAGCCAUGCCGCGUGCAGGAUUAAGGCCCUAUGGGUCGUAAACUGCUUUUGUGGUGGAGCAAUAAGACGUACGUGUACGUCGAUGAGAGUACAUCACGAAUAAGCAUCGGCUAACUCCGUGCCAGCAGCCGCGGUAAUACGGAGGAUGCAAGCGUUAUCCGGAUUUAUUGGGUUUAAAGGGUGCGUAGGCUGUUCGUCAAGUCAGAGGUGAAAUACCUGAGCCUAACUCAGGAACUGCCUUUGAUACUGGCGAGCUGGAAUACGGAUGCCGUGGGAGGAAUGAGUAGUGUAGCGGUGAAAUGCAUAGAUAUUACUCAGAACACCGAUUGCGAAGGCAUCUCACGAAUCCGUCAUUGACGCUGAGGCACGAAAGCGUGGGGAUCAAACAGG
This 425-nucleotide ribosomal RNA is filed under the name uncultured rumen bacterium. RNAcentral describes it as "bacterial SSU rRNA". It matches the Rfam family "Bacterial small subunit ribosomal RNA", at positions 354 to 776 of the family's 1533-position model. The record is from RNAcentral.